GGAAGUGUAUCGAAGAGGUCAUAACGAGCUGCACUCGAAAUGCAGUAGCCUAUUUGGGCACGUGGGUUCGAAUCCCACCGCUUCCG
RNAcentral lists this transfer RNA (86 nucleotides) under Anaerosphaera aminiphila DSM 21120. It matches the Rfam family "tRNA". Rfam says of the family: Transfer RNA (tRNA) molecules are approximately 80 nucleotides in length. Their secondary structure includes four short double-helical elements and three loops (D, anti-codon, and T loops). The record is from Rfam by way of RNAcentral. Lineage: Bacteria; Bacillati; Bacillota; Tissierellia; Tissierellales; Peptoniphilaceae.